CUCAGUUGGUUUUGGUUUUGCUGUUCACUUAGUCGACGGUCUGGUGACCCAACGGUUUGAACCGUUUGGAAAUGGAGGAAAAUACUGGAUUAAAAAACUGCUGAAUUCUGUUAAAUUCAUACUCAAUUAUUCUGAUCCGACGGUCUGAAAACUGUUUGGCUACUCAGAAAAUGGAGGAAAAUACCGAUUGCGUCUACGUUGAUCUAUCCACGUAAUUCUACUGUUUGAUUAGAAGUUUGUAGUAUUAUAAUCCCGUCGUAUACCGCAAUUUUACUUUUCCUUUCUAUUUUUUUUGCUUUAGCAUUGAAUUUUUCCGUAGAUAAUGAUUUGUUGUGUAGUGGAGUAACUUCGGAUCGUACUCUGUAGUUAAUCAAGCUGGUCCAUGGUAGAAAUCGUAUGGCAUGGACCAUCACUUGGGCCCACCGGACAAGCCUAUCUCCUGUCACAAAUUAGUUGACUUGGUUACAGUUUUAUUCGGUGCAGAUUCGACUAUAUUGCGGUGUUGAUUUGUUUGUUUGUUGGGCAUAUUUUUUUAGGACGUCUUAAAAAAUUAUCUAUAUUUUUUAAUUUAUAAUAUUUUAUAUAUUUAAUAUGGAUAUCGUUUGAUAAAUUUUAAUUAAUUUUUUUAAACAAAAUUUUGAAAUGAUAAAAGAUAUUAUAGAUUGGAAGAUAUAAAUAAUUUUUUGUAAGGCGCAAACAAGAAACAGACACAACAAAGUGGGACGGAAGGAGUAUUAUAUAUAUACUCUCCGAGCUGGAUUUCAACUUUUCUUUCACGCUUUUCUGCUCGUUGUCGCGAAUCUUAUACUAUAUACUCUCCCAGC
Molecule: long non-coding RNA, 824 nt
Organism: Rhododendron vialii
Lineage: Eukaryota; Viridiplantae; Streptophyta; Magnoliopsida; Ericales; Ericaceae
Exons: 2
Source: RefSeq, a predicted model, not a curated record